RNAcentral lists this unclassified non-coding RNA (253 nucleotides) under Ascomycota sp. RNAcentral describes it as "partial contains small subunit ribosomal RNA, internal transcribed spacer 1, and 5.8S ribosomal RNA". The stretch from base 1 to 46 matches the Rfam family "Eukaryotic small subunit ribosomal RNA", at positions 1786 to 1831 of the family's 1831-position model. Lineage: Eukaryota; Fungi; Ascomycota. The record is from RNAcentral.
AAGUCGUAACAAGGUUUCCGUAGGUGAACCUGCGGAAGGAUCAUUAGCGAGGUUUUUUUCUCCAGCUCGCUGGAGACCCUCCACCCUUUGUGUAUUGACCUGUUGCUUCGGCGGGACGUCUGCUCUCGAGCGGCCGUCGGCUAACGCGGGCGUGAUCCCGCCGAAGGCUUUUUUGACUCUUGUCUUUCUUGUCGUCUGAAUUUUCAAAAACAAAAAAAAAUCAAAACUUUCAACAACGGAUCUCUUGGUUCUG